GGAACGGUACCCUUAAACACAAACUUGUGGAACGGUAUAAUACUGUUCCACAAGUUUGUGUUUAAGGGUACCGUUUUA
RNAcentral lists this microRNA precursor (78 nucleotides) under Helianthus annuus (common sunflower). RNAcentral describes it as "mir-10 microRNA precursor family". The record is from RNAcentral. Lineage: Eukaryota; Viridiplantae; Streptophyta; Magnoliopsida; Asterales; Asteraceae.